Astatotilapia calliptera (eastern happy) is the source of this 1338-nucleotide long non-coding RNA. The record is from Ensembl. Lineage: Eukaryota; Metazoa; Chordata; Actinopteri; Cichliformes; Cichlidae.
GCCCGCAAAGAUAUUACAAAAUCUAAUUCCCCUUGCAGUACAGUUUGCAUAUGUAGCCAACUUGUUCCCAAAUCUCCACUGAUUUCUGCAGACUGUGCAGCAGAAUUAUUGGGAGAGGAGGUGAUAACUCUCCAGGCGUCUUGUCUGGUUGUUUCUGGUAGAUGAAAAGGCUCUGGGCCUGCUUUCCACUGUGGCCAACCUGCCCUCUUAAUUAAUUAGCGCUAGCAGGAUGUGCAGGUCCACAGGGGAGAGGAGUAAACUCCAGAGGACUGGACAAGGUGAUAAUGUCCUAAAGGAGACACCAAAUCCUUUGUGUGUGUGCAUUACUAGUAGAUACAACCCAGCUCUAAAUGAAGAGAAGCAAUCAUGUUUAAUGUUUUCUGGCAUCUGCUGGAUAGGCCUCAACGAAUUUGGACAAUUUCAUUCAAGGUAUGUUUUGUGUUUAUCACACACAAGUCUUGACAAUUUAUUAUAUACUACACAGAAAUAUGUUGCAUUUAAAGGAACAGGUGGGUAAUUUUGGAGAGAUUCACUUUGAGGGCAUGAAAGCAAAUAGUUAGCUUGUGAUAGGUUUAAGAAUUUAUGUUGGCACAUAACUGACAAGCACCCAUGCUGAGGGGGAGAUUUUUUUUAAUUGUUUUUUUUUUUUUAACUGAAGUUUCCCUGCUCUUCCUUUAUGGUACGACGAAUACGUUUCAAGCUUUCACGCUGGAUUCACCACAGCCACAGAGUUUCCAAACAUUCCUGUAAUUUACUCUACCUGGCCAAGAGAUAAUCGUAAGUUUUCUUAGCUGGCACAGUUUGGUGAAUGUGUCAUUUGAGGUGUCAAAGUAGAGAGAAUUAUAAUAGGGCAUGUUUAUACAAAACAUUCUUUUAUUCAUUUCUUUAACACUAAUAAAGGGUUUUCGAUAUGGUGUCCCAGAAUUAGUUGGUGGAUUGUUGGCGGAUUAUACCAGAGUUAUUUGCCGUCCACAGACAGGUCAAAGUUAAAGAAUGCACAAAGUGCCACAAAUUAGACAACAUUACAUGAUCGUAUGAGGUACGAGAUACAAAUAGCUACUGUCUACCUCCAAAGCUCAAAAGAUUACGUUUCUCCAGGAGACUAGGCUUUAUCUUUAAAUUUCAAAGCUUGUUUAUCGGGGAUCAGGUCCAAAUUUUUUAAAACCUAAAUUUUUCUCCUAAAAUGAAACUUCGGAUGCAUUUUUACUCCAAGUUCAGAAACAGUCAUCUCACCCUUGAUAAUAGCUUAAACUACACUAGUUAAAAGAAAUUUGUUCAAGCUAAGAGCGAGACAGCAGCUUGCAAUCACACAAAUAAGUUUGGCUGAUUACAUCAGAU